Molecule: long non-coding RNA, 2222 nt
Filed under: Chinchilla lanigera (long-tailed chinchilla)
Lineage: Eukaryota; Metazoa; Chordata; Mammalia; Rodentia; Chinchillidae
Description: lncRNA (ENSCLAG00000025140.1)
Source: RNAcentral
GCUGCUGCUGCAGCGGCGCCUCCUCCCGCCCGCUCCGCGCCCUGGCGAGGCUCCAGGGCCGUGGGACCGACCUCGAGGCCCGCAGGGAGAGGCCGCUCCGGGCGUCUGGGGGACGCGGCGCAGGAGCGAGGCGCCCGGUCCCUGAAGCCCGCUGGGUCCUCCGGGAGGCCAGUGUCCGGGACCAGGGCGCCCGCCAAGCCGGCCCCCCUGCAGGAAAGCUGAGGACGCAUUCAGCACGGAAAGCAGGCUGAGGCGGGCACGCACUCAGCCCGGUAGCCUGCUCUUACCCGGGAGUGACCCCGCUCUUGACCGUCUCUGCCCAGGGGACCCCAGGGCACCCACGGAAAACACGGUCAGCCGUGGGGCCCCCGAGGGUCUUCCGUGUCGGCGGAGACAGCUGAUGGGUGACAGCGUCCUGAGCCCCAGGUGCAGGACGCCUUUUAACUUCACGGCCACGCCCCUGCCACAAGGUCAAAAAGCUGGGUGUCUCCAGGGGACGUCUCUCCCUGUGUCUCCGCAUAAGGAGACCCGUUGCAACAAAGCUCAGAGGAAAUCGUUUUCAACUAUAAAGCAGGAAGAAAUUUCUAGACUUACGCAUUAUCUGAAAUCAACACAAGCAAGUUCGUCUGCUGUGCCCGACCACGUUUCAAGAGACGCGCAAGAAGAGAAAGGAGAGUUGCGCUGUGCACGCAGGAACACCGGGACGACACCAGGGUGUGGAGGCGGAUUUACUUACACGGACAGCACUGAUCCGGAUCAGCCCCGGAGGACCAGGCCCCUAUCGCUGGUGGUCUGGGGCUUUCAUGGGACCAACCAGUGCAGGGGCCGCACGGCUUGUCAGCUGGGGACUGGUUUAUACAACGUGCAUCACAGUGACCACAAGAGACGGGAGCAACCGGAACUGGAACGGGCACUAUCACCCAGGCAACUAUGAAACUAAAGUAUAGCGGUGUGUGUGAGGGUGCAUCUUCUCUUACAAUACUCAUCUGAAAAGCUGUGAGGAAUUCUGACAUUGAAUAGGAGGAGGUUGUAUUACAUAAUCUCUAUAUUGUCUUUCUCAGCAGCAAAACUUCAUGUUUCUGAUCCCUGACCAGAGCAUCCCACGAAGCUGUACCACGCAUCACUGUCUGCCCAGCAGACGAUCACUCACUGUGCUCCUUUCCUCUGCUUAGGCGGUGGAAAAGGUGUUCUCCAAGACCACUGAACAGCUACUGCACGAUGCUCAUCAGAGCAGCUCUGUUUCUGCUUUAUGGUUUUGUGUUCAUUUUCAUUUUAUCAUCCAUUCCCUCUAUUCUUUCCCUUCAUUCCUUUGCUCUAUCUCAUCCCGUGUCCUUACACUGCGUCUCUCUUGGCUCUUCUCACCCUUCUGUCCUUCCCCUGCCUUCCUCCUCACCGCUCUGCCCUCCGUCCCUGCUGCUGCACUGGCCUUGCUCAGACAAGGCUUGCUGGAGGAGGUGCCAUGCAGUGUGCUGGAGCAAUUAGUCACCGGAGAAGGAAAGGAGAUACUCUGCGGCCUCUUUUGGCAAAGGUGACUCCUCAAGGCCCCCUCCCGCCAGGUCCCUACCCCUGUUAAAUAUUGAUGAUGCCACAUUGGCUGUCUGCGAAAGCAGCUGUGGCUAGAACUUUGCAGAGAAGGGGAGCUGCAGGUUCUGCAGCAGGUAAGAGACAUCUUUUUCUUCUAUCUGUUACUUGCUCCACCUUCAAGCUUGCCAAGGACAGAAACACCCACACGCAUGCCAGUAGAUUUACCGUCCAGAGAGAAGCUCUGCUUCCUGGAGCUGUACAUUUUCUAAUGUUUGUCAGCAGGUGCGUAAGCAUCUCUGGCAGCAGGUGGGAAGGCCAGCCCUGCUCAGUAGAGGGACACAUGUGCAGUCAAGGUUCUAGGCACUAACGCCUCAGUGCUUCUGAGUUAAAGAAAUAAAAUUCAUUUGGGGCUGGAGCUUUGCUUCCAGAUGUUGCUUGUUCACACCACAGUUUGAUGAACUGUGUCUGUAGCUACCUUCAUCCCUCUUUGGUGCUGCCCAGAAUAAGGGUGGUGCCGUCCGAGUUACAGUGUGAAGUCCUUGAGAAUUGUGAAACAGCUGAACACUUAAGUAUGGACCACUUAAUUAUGUGCCACAUGUAAUUUCAGGGCAGCUCUGUUUACAGUGGGACUUUAUUUUUAAAAAGCUUAUAUUUCAGAGUGGGAGGCAAUGCAAAUUAUUUUAGGCCUUGUAAUGAAC